UGGGGAAUAUUGCACAAUGGGCGAAAGCCUGAUGCAGCAACGCCGCGUGAGGGACGACGGCCUUCGGGUUGUAAACCUCUUUUAGCAAGGAAGAAGCGAAAGUGACGGUACUUGCAGAAAAAGCGCCGGCUAACUACGUGCCAGCAGCCGCGGUAAUACGUAGGGCGCAAGCGUUAUCCGGAAUUAUUGGGCGUAAAGAGCUCGUAGGCGGUUUGUCGCGUCUGCUGUGAAAACCCGAGGCUCAACCUCGGGCCUGCAGUGGGUACGGGCAGACUAGAGUGCGGUAGGGGAGAUUGGAACUCCUGGUGUAGCGGUGGAAUGCGCAGAUAUCAGGAAGAACACCGAUGGCGAAGGCAGAUCUCUGGGCCGUAACUGACGCUGAGGAGCGAAAGGGUGGGGAGCAAACAGGCUUAGAUACCCUGGUAGUCCACCCCGUAAACGUUGGGAACUAGUUGUGGGGUCCAUUCCACGGAUUCCGUGACGCAGCUAACGCAUUAAGUUCCCCGCCUGGGGAGUACGGCCGCAAGGCUAAAACUGCAAAUGAAUUGACGGGGUCAUAGCUGUUUCC
RNAcentral lists this ribosomal RNA (568 nucleotides) under uncultured bacterium. RNAcentral describes it as "partial 16S ribosomal RNA". It matches the Rfam family "Bacterial small subunit ribosomal RNA", at positions 355 to 937 of the family's 1533-position model. The record is from RNAcentral.